RNAcentral lists this long non-coding RNA (1906 nucleotides) under Homo sapiens (human). Its description in RNAcentral is "HSALNT0269279". Lineage: Eukaryota; Metazoa; Chordata; Mammalia; Primates; Hominidae. The record is from RNAcentral.
UGCUGGUGGUGGUCCUGGGUUUACAGUUUGAGAAUCUUUGUUCAGGGCAAGGAUCGGGGUGGAGAGGGUUGCAGCCUGCAGCCUGGCCAUCCUGCAGGCUGGGAAGCACAGCCCCUGGCAAAAACCAGACGCGAGCACUUCAGAGAAGGAAGGAUGAGACAGGAAUUGAAGCUGAACAGCGCUGAAGCUCAUGAUGUGAGGCAAAUCCUCUCCGACUGCAAUUCCUCCCUAACUACAUUCCCCUGGACGCUUUCCUUUACCUGGCACACCACUGAAAAAAAGAAGAGGAACCCAUGUUUCAAACCAACGGAUUGUUUAGCAGCCACAUCUGUACAAGCUCAAAAAAAAAAGAAAAGAAAAAGCCUGGGUGCUUUCUCCUUUGGCACCAGCGAGACAUCCAAACCAUGGAAACCUCUGCCCAUAUGGAAUGCUCACCCUGGUCCCACGGUGAAUCAUAAUAGAGACCCAAGCCAGUCACCUUUCCUGGCCCUCACAAACCAUUUCUGACCUGCUUGAGAGGUCUGCCCGGUUCUCCCAGAGACCUCAAUUAUUAAUUGGUGUGGAUGCCCAGAAGAACUGAAUUAACUGCAUGAGCAAACUUCUUAAUAUUGUUUAGAGUUGAAGACCAUGUAUAUACAAGAAGCGAGAGUAGAGACCUGCUACUAAGGCCAGUGGGAAAGCGAAAGCACUUGGUGAUCUCUUUACGCAUACCUGCUCCCCUUCCACUUUCCACCAUGACUGGAAGCACCAUGAGGCCCUCACCAGAUGGAGCUGCUCAAUCUUAAACUUUUCAGCCACCAGAAUUAUAAGCCAAAUAAACUUCUUUUCUUUAUAAAUUACCCAGCCUCAGGCAUUCUGUUAUGGCAACACAAGAUGGACAAAGACAAUGCUAGAACUACUAGAAAGUGAGUUUUCUCUUUUGCCCUGGACUGACCAGACACCACCACUUGGAGCCUGAAACUAAAGCUGAUGGAGUAGAAGGCAGAGCUGAUAGAGAGAAACAGAUUUGCGAUAAUAGCAUUUCUACCUUGUCUUUUCUACUGUAAGCAUAUUUUUACCUGUAAGUCCAGUCUUAUAGCAGUCUUACUUGUGGACUCUAACAUCACGUUAUAGAUUCAUGUUUUGGCUUAAACCAGGUUGAAUUGGGUUUGUCACUUACAAUUGGAGGAGUCUGGUUUAUUAUUGCAUCUACCCCAACCAAACUGGGAGGGACAGUGGAGGCACAAAAUGAACUGUGAACUUCCAAUCUGCAUACUUGUGUUUGACUCUCUUCUCCAUCAUUUUUUGGCUACAUGACCUGGGGCCAAUCUCUUAAUCACUCAGCAUGUCAGUUCCCAUUUCUAUAAAACAUGAAAGUAAAAUUCAUUUCCCUAAUGCUGAAGGUGGUAUAAGGACCAAAUGAUUACAGAAAAGCACUUUGAGAACAGCAAAGAACAGAUGUCAGGAUUCUCAUCUACAACCUAGACCAAUAAGAAUUGGAAGAUAUUCAUAAUGUCUCUCAAAGCAUUUCUUAAUUGAGAUGCUGGAGUAUUGCAGGUUACCUCAAGUGCUGAAUCUGGCCCUACGGGUUCCAGAAAAAUAGGAAAACAAUGAUGAUGCUUAUCUUAUUGAGAUAAACUAGCAUUUCCUGUUUCCAUUAUUCAAUUACAGGAAGCAUAACAUUUAUUUGCAAAUGCAAUUAGAAAGCUUAAAAUCUAAGCCUCAAAAUUGUGCUCUAUGAAAAUGAAUGUCAAUCUUUAUGUAGAGGAAGAAAGAACUAAGAAAAAAUUUUCCUACUCAUUGAUGAGUAAUUAUGUUCCAGAUCAUUUUGAGAAAUGACACCUGUGUGGUUUGAAACAACACAAAAAUAACACACAACCUGCACUGAAAUCAAAGUGUGGCAAGUCAACUUAAAUAUUUUUCAAAU